Molecule: long non-coding RNA, 547 nt
Filed under: Linum usitatissimum (flax)
Lineage: Eukaryota; Viridiplantae; Streptophyta; Magnoliopsida; Malpighiales; Linaceae
Description: long non-coding RNA (LUSI_LNC001827)
Source: RNAcentral
UACGAGAAACAGUACAACGGCUAAAAGCCAUGCACUAGAAGAAUCAAUUGGUACACACCCACCAUCUGCAUGUGACUCUACUGACUAGCUCAAACAUGUUCAAGACUUUAGAUUUACGCUGCAUGUUCCCUUGAUUAGGGUCUAACACUUCGAUUUCGGUUAAACCAUGAUAAAAGUCGAAACUGGUUAAUUCAAAUGGUUGAAUAGUUCAGAUUCAGUAUUCAGUUCAAAGAAGGCAAAGUUUCUUGUUUUCACUAGAAUCUAAGCAAUUGCAUAACUCCCCCUAGAAUGUGAUUUCACUAAGCAAUAUGGACGGGUACUCAUAGUUCAAGUCAGGCUCAUGAAAAAUAAAGUGAUGUUUGCACAAUUGAAAAAAAAAUUACAUAUGUAGCUACGUCAGAACAGGGUACUUUUUCGAUUUUUGUAACUAUAGAUGAUGCACCAAAAAAACUGAAACAUGCAGCAAUUCACAAAGAGAAGGGAAAUGAACGGGAACCCAGGGGACAAAAAUGAACAAGUGCGUACCUUGUCAGGGAAUCAUGGACCU